UCUCCGUAGGUGAACCUGCGGAGGGAUCAUUACCGAGUGAGGGUUCCGGCCCGACCUCCAACCCUUUGUGAAUUCGACCCAGUUGCCUCGGGGGCGACCCUGCCUUUCGGGCAGUGCGCCCCCGGAGGAUAUCAAAACUGCAUCUUUGCGUCGGAGUAUCAAUCAAAUUGAACAAAACUUUCAACAACGGAUCUCUUGGUUCUGGCAUCGAUGAAGAACGCAGC
This 224-nucleotide unclassified non-coding RNA is filed under the name uncultured fungus. RNAcentral describes it as "sequence contains ITS1, 5.8S rRNA gene". The stretch from base 176 to 224 matches the Rfam family "5.8S ribosomal RNA", at positions 1 to 49 of the family's 154-position model. Lineage: Eukaryota; Fungi. The record is from RNAcentral.